CAACUCUAGAGAUAGAGUCUUCCCCUUCGGGGGACAAAGUGACAGGUGGUGCAUGGUUGUCGUCAGCUCGUGUCGUGAGAUGUUGGGUUAAGUCCCGCAACGAGCGCAACCCUUAAGCUUAGUUGCCAGCAUUAAGUUGGGCACUCUAAGUUGACUGCCGGUGACAAACCGGAGGAAGGUGGGGAUGACGUCAAAUCAUCAUGCCCCUUAUGAUUUGGGCUACACACGUGCUACAAUGGACAAUACAAAGGGCAGCUAAACCGCGAGGUCAUGCAAAUCCCAUAAAGUUGUUCUCAGUUCGGAUUGUAGUCUGCAACUCGACUACAUGAAGCUGGAAUCGCUAGUAAUCGUAGAACAGCAUGCUACGGUGAAUACGUUCCCGGGUCUUGUACACACCGCCCGUCACACCACGAGAGUCUGUAACACCCGAAGCCGGUGGAGUAACCAUUUAUGGAGCUAGCCGUCGAAGGUGGGACAAAUGAUUGGGGUGAAGUCGUAACAAGGUAGCCGUAUCGGAAGGUG
This 522-nucleotide ribosomal RNA is filed under the name uncultured bacterium. Its description in RNAcentral is "bacterial SSU rRNA". It matches the Rfam family "Bacterial small subunit ribosomal RNA", at positions 995 to 1514 of the family's 1533-position model. The record is from RNAcentral.